This 916-nucleotide ribosomal RNA is filed under the name uncultured bacterium. Its description in RNAcentral is "bacterial SSU rRNA". It matches the Rfam family "Bacterial small subunit ribosomal RNA", at positions 8 to 896 of the family's 1533-position model. The record is from RNAcentral.
AGAGUUUGAUCCUGGCUCAGAAUGAACGCUGGCGGCGCGCCUAACACAUGCAAGUCGAACGAGAAAUCUCGAGCUUGCUCGAGAGAGUAAAGUGGCGCACGGGUGAGUAACGCGUGGGUAACCUGUCCUUAAAUUUGGGAUAAUCCACCGAAAGGUGGCCUAAUACCAAAUACGGUCCUAAGAACCAAGGUACUUAGAAUGAAAGCUGACCUCUUCGUGAAAGUUGGCGUUUAAGGAGGGGCUCGCGUACCAUUAGCUUGUUGGUAGGGUAAAGGCCUACCAAGGCUACGAUGGUUAGCUGGUCUGAGAAGAUGGCCAGCCACACUGGAACUGAAACACGGUCCAGACUCCUACGGGAGGCAGCAGUGAGGAAUCUUGCGCAAUGGGGGAAACCCUGACGCAGCGACGCCGUGUGAGUGAAGAAGGCCUUCGGGUCGUAAAGCUCUGUCAAGUGGGAAUAAAGUCUCUCGGUGAAUACCCGAGGAAUUUGAAGGUACCACUAAAGGAAGCACCGGCUAACUCCGUGCCAGCAGCCGCGGUAAUACGGAGGGUGCAAGCGUUAUUCGGAUUUAUUGGGCGUAAAGAGCGUGUAGGUGGUUGGGAUAGUCAGAUGUGAAAGCCUUCUGCUCAACAGAAGAAGUACGUCUGAAACUACCCAACUUGAGUACGAGAGAGGAAAGUGGAAUUCCCAGUGUAGAGGUGAAAUUCGUAGAUAUUGGGAGGAACACCUGUGGCGAAGGCGACUUUCUGGAUCGAUACUGACGCUGAGACGCGAAAGCGUGGGGAGCAAACAGGAUUAGAUACCCCGGUAGUCCACGCUGUAAACGAUGGGAACUAGGUGUAGCGGGUAUUGAUCCCUGCUGUGCCGAAGCUAACGCAUUAAGUUCCCCGCCUGGGGAGUACGGUCGCAAGGCUA